CGCGUAGGCGGCCUGCUAAGUCUGGAGUGAAAGUCCUGCUUUCAAGGUGGGAAUUGCUUUGGAUACUGGUGGGCUGGAGUGCAGGAGAGGAAAGCGGAAUUACCGGUGUAGCGGUGAAAUGUGUAGAGAUCGGUAGGAACACCAGUGGCGAAGGCGGCUUUCUGGACUGAAACUGACGCUGAGGCGCGAAAGCGUGGGGAGCAAACA
Molecule: ribosomal RNA, 207 nt
Filed under: uncultured bacterium
Lineage: Bacteria
Description: partial 16S ribosomal RNA
Rfam family: Bacterial small subunit ribosomal RNA
Source: RNAcentral